CUUGUCUUCGCCAACGGCUUCAGCAUUUCUACCGACAAGAAUACAAGGGCAGCACCAAGCGAGGAGACCUGUAGUGAGAGGGAAUGGAAACACUGCAGGACAGAUAACGGUAUCAGUGUUGUGCUUACAGGUUGUGCAGUCGCUGAAACAGCCGCAGAGAGGGUAUGACCAGUCAGACAUGGUGUAGGGACGUUUAUUCAAAAG
This is a long non-coding RNA of Amphimedon queenslandica, 204 nucleotides long. RefSeq lists it as uncharacterized. The record is from RefSeq and is a predicted model, not a curated record. NCBI's taxonomy places the organism in Eukaryota, Metazoa, Porifera, Demospongiae, Haplosclerida, Niphatidae. The transcript has 2 exons.